Molecule: ribosomal RNA, 809 nt
Filed under: uncultured archaeon
Lineage: Archaea
Description: bacterial SSU rRNA
Rfam family: Archaeal small subunit ribosomal RNA
Source: RNAcentral
ACGGCUCAGUAACACGUGGCCAACCUGCCCCAAGGAGGAGGAUAACCCCGGGAAACUGGGGUAUAAACCUCCAUAGGCGAUGGGCUCUGGAAGGACCCGUCGCCAAAAGUAUGCCAGGAGGGUGCUUCUGGCAUAGCCUUGGGAUGGGGCUGCGGCCGAUCAGGUAGUUGGUGGGGUAACGGCCCACCAAGCCUGUAACCGGUACGGGCCCUGAGAGGGGGAGCCCGGAGAUGGACUCUGAGACAAGAGUCCAGGUCCUACGGGGCGCAGCAGGCGCGAAACCUUCGCAAUGCGCGCAAGCGCGACGAGGCCAUCCCGAGUGCCACCCUCGUGGUGGCUUUUGCCCAGUGUGAACAGCUGGGCGAAUAAGCGGGGGGCAAGACGGGUGUCAGCCGCCGCGGUAAUACCCGCUCCGCGAGUGGUGGGGACUUUUAUUGGGCUUAAAGCGUCCGUAGCCGGCCUAGUGUGUUCUCCGUUAAAUCCGGCGGCCUAACCGCCGGGCUGCGGAGAUUACUACUGGGCUUGGGGAUGGGAAAGGCCGACGGUACUCCCGGGGUAGGGGUAAAAUCCACUGAUCCCGGGGGGACCACCAGUGGCGAAGGCGGUCGGCCAGAACACGCCCGACGGUGAGGGACGAAAGCUGGGGGAGCGAACGGGAUUAGAUACCCCGGUAGUCCCAGCCGUAAACGAUGCGGGCCAGGUGUCGCGCCAGCUACGGGCUGGCGCGGUGCCGAAGGGAAACCAUUAAGCCCGCCGCCUGGGGAGUACGGCCGCAAGGCUGAAACUUAAAGGAAUUGGCGGGGGAGCAC